RNAcentral lists this ribosomal RNA (980 nucleotides) under Spheciospongia peleia. Its description in RNAcentral is "eukaryotic LSU rRNA". It matches the Rfam family "Eukaryotic large subunit ribosomal RNA", at positions 416 to 1331 of the family's 3401-position model. The record is from RNAcentral. Lineage: Eukaryota; Metazoa; Porifera; Demospongiae; Clionaida; Spirastrellidae.
GAAGCGAAUGCAGCUGAAGUGGCUCCGUAUCAGGUUCAGGGGACGUUGGAGGUGCUCUGGGUGUCGACGAAUGUUGCCGCCCUGAGAGGCCGCCGACAAGCACUCCUGUUGGGAGCCGGCCAACAGCAGUUGCUUCUGGCCCAGAAGGGAGCGUAUAGCCGUUCGCGACUGAGGAGAGCAGCGCAGGCCCCCGGGCCGCCUCUGUCCGUUUUCCCGCCGAGGGGGCAGUGUCUGCUGACGGUUCGCCUGCUCGGUCGGGGGGUCGGCCACGCCUUGCGCUCGGGCUGUUGGUGCUCAAAUGGCUGCAUCCGACCCGUCUUGAAACACGGACCAAGGAGUGCAACAUGCGUGCGAGUCUUGGAGUGGAAAACUCGUCCGUAAAUGAAGGUGAAGGCAGGCCGCAUCGUCGACCGAUCCCAUGGCUACGCUGUGGCGGGAUUUGAGUAAGAGCGUGCCUGUUGCGACCCGAAAGAUGGUGAACUAUGCCUGAAUAGGGUGAAGCCASAGGAAACUCUGGUGGAAGCUCGUAGCGAUUCUGACGUGCAAAUCGAUCGUCAAAUUUGGGUAUAGGGGCGAAAGACUAAUCGAACCAUCUAGUAGCUGGUUCCCUCCGAAGUUUCCCUCAGGAUAGCUGGAGCCCGAGUCAGUUUUAUCAGGUAAAGCGAAUGAUUAGAGGUCUUGGGGUUGAAACAACCUCAACCUAUUCUCAAACUUUAAAUGGGUAAGAAGCUCGGCUUGCUCAAUUGAAGUCGGGCAUGGAAUGCCGGGGCUCUUAGUGGGCCAUUUUUGGUAAGCAGAACUGGCGAUGUGGGAUGAACCAAAUGCCGAGUUAAGGUGCCGGAAUCGACGCUCAUCAGAUCCCAUGAAAGGUGUUGGUUGAUCCAGACAGCAGGACGGUGGCCAUGGAAGUCGGAAUCCGCUAAGGAGUGUGUAACAACUCACCUGCCGAAUCAACUAGCCCUGAAAAUGGAUGGCGCUGA